This 349-nucleotide ribosomal RNA is filed under the name uncultured Streptococcus SS1. RNAcentral's name for it is "bacterial SSU rRNA". It matches the Rfam family "Bacterial small subunit ribosomal RNA", at positions 24 to 355 of the family's 1533-position model. The record is from RNAcentral. Lineage: Bacteria; Bacillati; Bacillota; Bacilli; Lactobacillales; Streptococcaceae.
UCAGGACGAACGCUGGCGGCGUGCCUAAUACAUGCAAGUGGAACGCAUGAUUGAUACCGGAGCUUGCUCCACCAUUAAUCAUGAGUCGCGAACGGGUGAGUAACGCGUAGGUAACCUGCCUCAUAGCGGGGGAUAACUAUUGGAAACGAUAGCUAAUACCGCAUAACAGUAGUUAACGCAUGUUAUUUGUUUGAAAGGAGCAAAUGCUUCACUAUGAGAUGGACCUGCGUUGUAUUAGCUAGUUGGUGGGGUAACGGCUCACCAAGGCVACGAUACAUAGCCGACCUGAGAGGGUGAUCGGCCACACUGGGACUGAGACACGGCCCAGACUCCUACGGGAGGCAGCAGU